GCCCGGUUAGCUCAGCUGGUAGAGCAUCAGACUUUUAAUCUGAGGGUCAAGGGUUCGAGUCCCUUAUCGGGCG
RNAcentral lists this transfer RNA (73 nucleotides) under Actinia tenebrosa (Australian red waratah sea anemone). Its description in RNAcentral is "tRNA-Lys". It matches the Rfam family "tRNA". From Rfam's summary of the family: Transfer RNA (tRNA) molecules are approximately 80 nucleotides in length. Their secondary structure includes four short double-helical elements and three loops (D, anti-codon, and T loops). The record is from Rfam by way of RNAcentral. Lineage: Eukaryota; Metazoa; Cnidaria; Anthozoa; Actiniaria; Actiniidae. RNAcentral also lists the same sequence under 1 other name.